CAGCUCUGGGCAGAUGUAGUGGAUGUGUGUAUCUAUACCUCCAGCUGUUACAAUGUAUCCCCAAGCACCAUGUACUUCCGUUGCAGGACCUAUAAUCAUUCCUGGAGUUACACCAUCUUGUGUAUCUGGGUUACCUGCUUUACCAAUACCUACGAUUUUACCGUCUUUGAUACCGAUAUCGGCUUUUACUAUUCCCCAGUGGUCCACAAUAGUAGCCCCCAAUAAGCACAUAUCCAAACAGUCUUUAUCUAAUACCGAUGCUGACUGUCCCAUACCGUCACGG
RNAcentral lists this small RNA (283 nucleotides) under Bergeyella zoohelcum ATCC 43767. RNAcentral's name for it is "5' ureB small RNA". It matches the Rfam family "5' ureB small RNA". Lineage: Bacteria; Pseudomonadati; Bacteroidota; Flavobacteriia; Flavobacteriales; Weeksellaceae. The record is from Rfam by way of RNAcentral.